GUUUUGUGGUGUAGUAGUAGUAGCACGCGUCUCCGGUAUGGACGAAACACGGGUUCGAUUCCCGCCUGAGGCA
Non-coding RNA from Parelaphostrongylus tenuis, 73 nucleotides. NCBI's taxonomy places the organism in Eukaryota, Metazoa, Nematoda, Chromadorea, Rhabditida, Metastrongylidae. The record is from the annotation of a GenBank genome assembly.